RNAcentral lists this ribosomal RNA (253 nucleotides) under uncultured bacterium. RNAcentral's name for it is "partial 16S ribosomal RNA". It matches the Rfam family "Bacterial small subunit ribosomal RNA", at positions 524 to 776 of the family's 1533-position model. The record is from RNAcentral.
UACGGAGGGUGCGAGCGUUGUCCGGAAUCAUUGGGCGUAAAGGGCGCGUAGGUGGCCCGGUCAGUCCGUGGUGAAAGCGCGGGGCUCAACCCCGCGUCGGCCAUGGAUACUGCUGGGCUUGAGCACUGUAGAGGCAGGCGGAAUUCCGGGUGUAGCGGUGGAAUGCGUAGAGAUCCGGAAGAACACCGGUGGCGAAGGCGGCCUGCUGGGCAGUGGCUGACACUGAGGAGCGAAAGCGUGGGGAGCGAACAGG